AGAGUUUGAUCCUGGCUCAGGACGAACGCUGGCGGCGCGCUUAAAACAUGCAAGUCGAACGAAAAGCCCGGGCUUGCCCGGGUGGAAAGUGGCGAACGGGUGCGUAACACGUGAGCAACCUGCCCCGAAGACUGGGAUAACACCGGGAAACCGGUGCUAAUACCGGAUGCCUUCAUCAUGUCGCAUGGCGAGAUGAAGAAAUGGAUUCCGCUUCGGGAUGGGCUCGCGGCCUAUCAGCUUGUUGGUGGGGUAAUGGCCUACCAAGGCAACGACGGGUAGCUGGUCUGAGAGGAUGUCCAGCCACACUGGGACUGAGACACGGCCCAGACUCCUACGGGAGGCAGCAGUUAGGAAUCUUGCGCAAUGGGCGAAAGCCUGACGCAGCGACGCCGCGUGCGGGAUGACGGCCUUCGGGUUGUAAACCGCUUUCAGCAGGGACGAUUAUGACGGUACCUGCAGAAGAAGCCCCGGCCAACUACGUGCCAGCAGCCGCGGUA
RNAcentral lists this ribosomal RNA (497 nucleotides) under uncultured Actinomycetes bacterium. RNAcentral describes it as "bacterial SSU rRNA". It matches the Rfam family "Bacterial small subunit ribosomal RNA", at positions 8 to 522 of the family's 1533-position model. The record is from RNAcentral. Lineage: Bacteria; Bacillati; Actinomycetota; Actinomycetes.